This 988-nucleotide non-coding RNA is filed under the name Campylorhynchus brunneicapillus. RNAcentral's name for it is "12S ribosomal RNA". It matches the Rfam family "Bacterial small subunit ribosomal RNA". Lineage: Eukaryota; Metazoa; Chordata; Aves; Passeriformes; Certhiidae. The record is from RNAcentral.
AAAAGACUUAGUCCCAACCUUACUGUUGGUUGUUGCUAGGAUUACACAUGCGAGUAUCCGCGUUCCAGUGUAGAUGCCCUGGACACCCUGAUUCCCCAUCAGGUAGAUAGGAGCGGGUAUCAGGCACACCUUCAACUGUAGCCCAAGACGCCUUGCAAUUGCCACACCCCCACGGGUAUUCAGCAGUGGUUAACAUUAAGCAAUGAGUGAAAACUUGACUUAGCCAUAGCAAUCAUCCAGGGCCGGUAAAUCCUGUGCCAGCCACCGCGGUCAUACAGGAGGCCCAAAUUAACAGUAUAACGGCGUAAAGUGUGGUAACAUGCUAUCCAAGUAACUAAGAUUAAAAAGCAACUGAGCCGUCACAAGCCCAUGUCGCCCGUAAGGCCACUUACUUAAAGAAAAUCUUAGACCAACGAUUAAUUGAAAUCCACGAAAGCCAGGGCCCAAACUGGGAUUAGAUACCCCACUAUGCCUGGCCCUAAAUCUUGAUGCUUAAUAUAACCCAAGCAUCCGCCCGAGAACUACGAGCACAAACGCUUAAAACUCUAAGGACUUGGCGGUGCUCCAAACCCACCUAGAGGAGCCUGUUCUGUAAUCGAUGAUCCACGAUAUUACCUGACCAUUUCUCGCCAGUUCAGCCUGCAUACCGCCGUCGCCAGCCCACCUCCUCUGAAAGCCCAACAGUGAGCGCAAUAGCCUAACCCGCUAGCAAGACAGGUCAAGGUACAGCCUAUGGAAUGGAAGCAAUGGGCUACAUUUUCUAGUUUAGAACAUACGGCAAAGGGACCUGAAACGAUCCCUAGAAGGCGGAUUUAGCAGUAAAGUGGGACAAUUGAGCCCUCUUUAAGCCGGCUCUGGAGCACGUACAUACCGCCCGUCACCCUCCUCAAAAGCGAACCAAACCCCCCCCAUAAAUAAUAAGAUACUCAGCUGAAGAUGAGGCAAGUCGUAACAAGGUAAGUGUACCGGAAGGUGUACUUAGACUACC